This 81-nucleotide transfer RNA is filed under the name Smittium culicis. It matches the Rfam family "tRNA". From Rfam's summary of the family: Transfer RNA (tRNA) molecules are approximately 80 nucleotides in length. Their secondary structure includes four short double-helical elements and three loops (D, anti-codon, and T loops). The record is from Rfam by way of RNAcentral. Lineage: Eukaryota; Fungi; Kickxellomycota; Harpellomycetes; Harpellales; Legeriomycetaceae.
CCGAAUAUAGCUCAGCGGUAGAGCGGGAGACUGUAGUUAGUAGAUAUCUCUAGGUCCCUGGUUCAAAUCCGGGUGUUCGGA